CCUACGGGCGGCAGCAGUGGGGAAUAUUGGACAAUGGGCGAAAGCCUGAUCCAGCCAUGCCGCGUGUGUGAAGAAGGCCUUCGGGUUGUAAAGCACUUUCAGUGGGGAAGAAAGCCUUGGGGCUAAUACCCUCGAGGAAGGACAUCACCCACAGAAGAAGCACCGGCUAACUCCGUGCCAGCAGCCGCGUUAAUACGGAGGGUGCGAGCGUUAAUCGGAAUUACUGGGCGUAAAGCGCGCGUAGGCGGUCUGAUAAGCCGGUUGUGAAAGCCCCGGGCUCAACCUGGGAACGGCAUCCGGAACUGUCAGGCUAGAGUGCAGGAGAGGAAGAUAGAAUUCCCGGUGUAGCGGUGAAAUGCGUAGAGAUCGGGAGGAAUACCAGUGGCGAAGGCGGCCUUCUGGACUGACACUGACGCUGAGGUGCGAAAGCGUGGGUAGCAAACAGGAUUAGAUACCCUGGUAGUC
This 465-nucleotide ribosomal RNA is filed under the name Vreelandella stevensii. RNAcentral's name for it is "partial 16S ribosomal RNA". It matches the Rfam family "Bacterial small subunit ribosomal RNA", at positions 338 to 795 of the family's 1533-position model. Lineage: Bacteria; Pseudomonadati; Pseudomonadota; Gammaproteobacteria; Oceanospirillales; Halomonadaceae. The record is from RNAcentral.